UAGAGGAGUCUGGAGCUCCUUUUAAGUCCAAUAGAGGUUCUUGGCCGGGUGGGUUGAGCUGCUGGUCUAUGGAUCCCACACUCCUAUCCCAUUAUAUCCAGUCAUUCGCGAACGGAUCUCCAAAAAAAAGGAAAAAAGAGAAAUGAAGGAGACGCGGAGAUCGAAGAAAAAUUUGGGAUAGGCUUGUGGCUUGCAUAUGCCAGGAGCUUCACUUGCCCCUUUUGGUCUGAAUCCUGUUUUGGAUUGAAGGGAGCUCUACACUUUUCUUUU
RNAcentral lists this microRNA precursor (270 nucleotides) under Eucalyptus grandis. Its description in RNAcentral is "MIR159 microRNA precursor family". It matches the Rfam family "MIR159 microRNA precursor family". Lineage: Eukaryota; Viridiplantae; Streptophyta; Magnoliopsida; Myrtales; Myrtaceae. The record is from Rfam by way of RNAcentral.